AUUGGUUUGCUCGCUCCCUUAUGUGAUGAAUCAAUGCUUUCAGAACAGGGGCUUCUGAGUGACUGCGGGAACAAUUACUUCCAAAUGACCUCGUGCAUCUUAUCAGGGAGCAUUCAGACCACACCCCAGGUCUCUGCUGGUGGUUCUGAAGCCAAACCUCUGAUCUUCACAUUUGUCCCCACUGUCAGAAGACUACCAACCCAUACUCAGUUGGCUGACACCUCUAAAUUCCUUGUUAAAAUUCCAGAAGAAUCAAGUGAUAAGAGUCCAGAAACUGUAAAUAGGUCUAAAUCCAAUGACUACUUGACCUUGAAUGCUGGGAGCCAACAAGAGAGAGACCAAGCGAAAUUGACUUGUCCUUCAGAGGUCAGUGGAACGAUUUUACAAGAAAGGGAAUUCGAAGCAAACAAACUUCAAGGGAUGCAGCAAAGUGACCUCUUCAAAGCUGAAUAUGUCCUUAUUGUGGACUCCGAAGGGGAAGAUGAGGCUACAAGCAGAAAAGUUGAACAAGGCCCCGCAGGGGGGAUUGGCACCGCAGCUGUCCGGCCCAAGUCUCUAGCAAUCUCGUCCAGUCUGGUCUCUGAUGUAGUGCGUCCCAAAACACAGGGGACUGAUCUCAAGACCUCAUCACAUCCUGAAAUGCUUCAUCGGAUGGCCCCUCAGCAAAAGCAUGGGCAGUUAACUUCUUCUCCCACUACCUCUGAGCAGCUUGCCUGUAAACCACCUGCUUUCUCCUUUGUUUCUCCAACUAAUCCGAACGCACCACCCGACCCAGUUAACCUCGAGGGAGCCUCUGUCCUAGAGGAGUUCCACACUAGGAGGCUGGAUGUCGGUGGGGCCGUGGUGGAAGAAUCAGCUACGUAUUUUCAAACUACCGCUCACUCUACACCCUUUUCUGCAUCGAAGGGCACCUCCUCGACGUUACUGUUUCCCCAUUCCACUCAACUAUCAGGUUCUAAUUUACCCAGUUCAACUGCAGCAGAUCCAAAGCCUGGACUGACCUCUGAAGUUCUCAAGAAGACAACUUUAACCUCGCAUGUCCUUAGUCGCGGAGAAAGUCCGAGAACCUCUUCUUCUCCACCGUCCUCCAGUGCUUCUCUGAAGUCGAAUUCAGCCUCGUACAUACCAGUCCGCAUUGUCACGCAUUCACUCUCUCCGAGCCCCAAACCAUUUACCUCCUCUUUCCACGGCUCUUCUUCCACCAUCUGCAGCCAAAUGUCAUCUAGUGGAAAUCUUUCAAAGUCAGGGGUAAAAUCCCCGGUGCCUUCCCGGCUUGCCCUUCUCACUGCCAUUCUCAAGUCAAACCCUUCCCACCAAAGACCCUUUUCCCCUGCAUCCUGUCCCACCUUCUCUCUCAACUCCCCGGCCUCUUCCACGCUCACACUUGAUCAAAAAGCAAAGCAGACCCCACCCACGCCUAAAAAAUCUCUCUCAAGUUGUUCCCUGAGAGCCGGGUCACCAGAUCAAGGGGAACUCCAGGUUUCUGAAUUGACCCAGCAAUCUUUUCACCUGCCUGUUUUCACCAAGUCUACUCCGCUUUCUCAAGCGCCCUCCCUCUCUCCUACAAAACAGGCUAGUAGCAGUCUUGCUUCCAUGAAUGUAGAGAGAACACCAUCACCUACUUUGAAGAGCAAUACCAUGCUCUCCCUGCUACAAACCAGUACAUCCAGUUCUGUGGGUCUUCCUCCUGUUCCACCAAGCUCUUCUCUUUCCUCUUUGAAGAGUAAACAGGAUGGUGACCUCAGGGGUCCAGAAAACCCCAGAAACAUUCACACGUACCCUUCUACAUUAGCCUCCUCUGCAUUAUCUUCUCUAUCUCCUCCUAUUAAUCAAAGAGCUACGUUCUCUUCUUCAGAGAAAUGUUUCCAUCCUUCCCCAGCUCUUUCAAGCCUGAUAAACAGAUCUAAAAGAGCGUCAUCCCAACUAUCUGGCCAGGAGCUGAAUCCUUCAGCUCUUCCUUCACUCCCUGUCUCCAGUGCUAACUUUGCCUCUCUUCCCAACUUGAGGUCCUCCUCUCUCCCUCAUGCCAAUCUGCCCACCCUGGUGCCCCAGCUCAGUCCCUCAGCUCUGCACCCACAUUGCGGCAGUGGUACCUUGCCUUCAAGACUUGGGAAAUCUGAAAGCACCACCCCCAACCACAGGUCACCUGUUUCAACCCCAUCACUUCCCAUAUCUCUAACAAGGACAGAGGAGCUGAUUUCACCUUGUGCAUUGUCCAUGUCAACAGGCCCAGAAAAUAAGAAAUCAAAGCAAUACAAGACCAAGUCAAGCUACAAGGCUUUUGCAGCAAUCCCUACAAACACAUUGCUUUUGGAACAGAAGGCACUAGAUGAACCAGCCAAGACUGAAAGUGUCUCCAAGGACAACACAUUAGAACCACCAGUGGAGCUCUAUUUUCCUGCACAGCUCAGGCAGCAAACUGAAGAGCUCUGUGCUACCAUUGAUAAGGUCUUACAGGAUUCCUUGUCUAUGCAUUCUUCUGAUUCUCCUUCAAGGUCCCCAAAGACAUUGUUGGGUUCUGACACAGUCAAAACUCCUACAACUCUUCCAAGAGCAGCUGGUCGAGAAACCAAAUAUGCAAAUCUCUCCUCACCAUCUUCUACAGUAUCUGAGAGUCAGCUGACUAAGCCUGGAGUAAUUCGCCCAGUACCUGUAAAAUCCAGAAUAUUACUGAAAAAAGAGGAGGAAGUCUAUGAACCCAACCCUUUCAGUAAAUAUUUGGAAGAUAACAGCGACCUCUUUUCUGAACAGAUGGAGUUUCGCUCUGUUGUCUAGGCUGGAUCUCAAUGGCGCCAUCUCGGCUCACUGCAACCUCCGCCUCUUGGGUUCAAGCGAUUCUCCUGCCUCAGAAUCCUGAGUAGCUGGGAUUACAGGCGCCUGCCACCACUGCCGGCUAAUUUUUGUAAUUUUAGUAGAGACAGGGUUUCACCAUGCUGGCCAGGCUGGUCUCAAACUCGUGACCUCA
RNAcentral lists this small RNA (2965 nucleotides) under Pan troglodytes (chimpanzee). Its description in RNAcentral is "processed transcript". The record is from RNAcentral. Lineage: Eukaryota; Metazoa; Chordata; Mammalia; Primates; Hominidae.